CCGCAUCUGUGCAUGCAGCAUAUCAAUAAGCGGAGGAAAAGAAACUAACAAGGAUUCCCCUAGUAACGGCGAGUGAAGCGGGAAGAGCUCAAAUUUGAAAUCUUAAAGGGUUUCCCUUUACGAAUUGUAGUUUAAAGAAGUGUUUUCUGUUGAGGUUUUGGUAAAAGUUCUUUGGAAUAGGACAUCAUAGAGGGUGAGAAUCCCGUAUUUGACCUUUACUUUCAACUUUGUGAUACACUUUCAAAGAGUCGGAUUGUUUGGGAAUGCAGUCCAAAAUGGGUGGUAAAUUUCAUCUAAAGCUAAAUAUUGGCGAGAGACCGAUAGCGAACAAGUACCGUGAGGGAAAGAUGAAAAGAACUUUGAAAAGAGAGUUAAACAGUACGUGAAAUUGUCAAAAGGGAAGCGUUUGACACCAGUGUUGUUUUUCUGAAAAUCAAUUAAAGAACUGUUUAUGCUAAGCUGUUUAGACUUUAUCAGCUAUCUGUUUAGUUUUGAGCUUUUCUUUAAUGCACUUUUCAGUUAACAAGUCAACAUCAAUUUCUUUUGCUGUAAAAAAGCUUGAGGAAGGUGGCUUGAGAUUCGUCUUAAGUGUUUAUAGCCUCUUGCCUAUGCAGUCGGAGAGAUUGAGGUCUGCAGCGUAGAUCCUUCGGGGCUAAAUGCAUUUGUGCUAAGUUAUAGCAUUUUAUAGACAACUUGUUGACUAUGAUUUGUCUUGUAGCUUACUCGCUUAUGUUAUUUUACCUACGCUUAGGAUGUUGACGAGACUGUCGAUCUC
This 775-nucleotide ribosomal RNA is filed under the name uncultured Neocallimastigales. RNAcentral describes it as "partial large subunit ribosomal RNA". It matches the Rfam family "Eukaryotic large subunit ribosomal RNA", at positions 25 to 647 of the family's 3401-position model. The record is from RNAcentral. Lineage: Eukaryota; Fungi; Neocallimastigomycota; Neocallimastigomycetes; Neocallimastigales.